RNAcentral lists this transfer RNA (58 nucleotides) under Schistocephalus solidus. It matches the Rfam family "tRNA", at positions 8 to 63 of the family's 71-position model. From Rfam's summary of the family: Transfer RNA (tRNA) molecules are approximately 80 nucleotides in length. Their secondary structure includes four short double-helical elements and three loops (D, anti-codon, and T loops). Lineage: Eukaryota; Metazoa; Platyhelminthes; Cestoda; Diphyllobothriidea; Diphyllobothriidae. The record is from Rfam by way of RNAcentral.
UAGCUCAGUAGUUAGAGCGUUGGACUUCUAAUCAAAAGAUCGUGGGUCCGAGUCCCGG